AACGAACGCUGGCGGCGUGCCUAACACAUGCAAGUCGAACGGUACGUCCCUGGUUUUGUGGGGUGCGGGAGUUGCGAACGGGGGAGUAACACGUAGGUAACGUGCCCUUCACUGUGGGUUAACUUCAUGAAACUGGGGCUAAUACGGCAUAGGAUUUCUUGCUGCAUGGUGGGGGUUGGAAAGUUUCGGCGGUUGGGGGUGGACUGGCCGCGCAUUAGCUUGUUGGUUGGGUAGUCGAUUAGCAAGGCCAUGCAGGGUAGCCGGCCUGAGAGGGUGACAGGCCACACUGGGACGGAGAUGAGGCCCAGACUAGUACGCGAGGGAGCGGUGGAGAAGAGUGCAUAAGGGGCGGAGCGCUGAUGCAACAACGCCGCGUGGGGGAUGACGUGCAGCGGGUAGUAAAGCACAUUUGCUUGAGCCGAAGCGAGAGUGACGGUAACGGGUGAAGAAGCACCGGCUAACUACGUG
This 468-nucleotide ribosomal RNA is filed under the name uncultured bacterium. RNAcentral describes it as "partial 16S ribosomal RNA". It matches the Rfam family "Bacterial small subunit ribosomal RNA", at positions 28 to 507 of the family's 1533-position model. The record is from RNAcentral.